GUGAAUCAUCAAAUCUUUGAACGCAAAUUGCACUCUCUGCGGAUAGUAUGGCUGUUUGAGUGUGAGCCUAAAAAAAAUCGACAUAGUUGCUGUUACUCGGUAACAGUUGUUGGAAAGUGGGUCAUCUUAAACCUUUGGGUUUAAGCGGCUUAAUAUUGUCUUGAAGAUUCCAAGAACGGUUCUAAAAUUUUAUUUUCUUAUGUGAUUAAGGUA
Molecule: unclassified non-coding RNA, 213 nt
Filed under: Glomus sp.
Lineage: Eukaryota; Fungi; Glomeromycota; Glomeromycetes; Glomerales; Glomeraceae
Description: partial internal transcribed spacer 2
Source: RNAcentral